Molecule: signal recognition particle RNA, 312 nt
Filed under: Methanomicrobiales archaeon
Lineage: Archaea; Methanobacteriati; Methanobacteriota; Methanomicrobia; Methanomicrobiales
Description: signal recognition particle sRNA
Rfam family: Archaeal signal recognition particle RNA
Source: RNAcentral
CCGGGGACUAGCCCGGGUGGUUCGACGUCACCUGUUACCCGAAACCGCCGGUACGCGGGGGGCGAAGUCUGAGGAAGACACAGUCGGCCAUCGGAACUUGCGUAUAUCCUGACUGAGAAACCUCGUCCUGUGAGGCCGGCGGACAGGGAUCGAAUCCCCGGAGGGGGUGGAGACCUGGUGCCGCGGGGACCGGUUCAGGCCCGGAAGGGAGCAGACCUACCGUGGACGUACGGCGCCCACGGGGUUGCGGGGUGGAGGAGGGACGCACGCGAUACCGGCGGAACGUGGUGCCGACCGAGGACGUGUCCCCAC